GCUGGGUGUGGUGGUGCAUGCCUGUAAUCCUAGCUACUCAGGAGGCUGAGGCAGGAGAAUUGCUUGAACCCAGGAGGUGGAGGUUGCAGUAAGCUGAGAUUGCACCGCUGCGCUCCAGCCUGGGUGACACAGCAAGACUCUGUCUCAA
RNAcentral lists this small RNA (148 nucleotides) under Pongo abelii (Sumatran orangutan). RNAcentral describes it as "Metazoan signal recognition particle RNA (ENSPPYG00000041590.1)". Lineage: Eukaryota; Metazoa; Chordata; Mammalia; Primates; Hominidae. The record is from Rfam by way of RNAcentral.